This 254-nucleotide ribosomal RNA is filed under the name uncultured bacterium. RNAcentral describes it as "partial 16S ribosomal RNA". It matches the Rfam family "Bacterial small subunit ribosomal RNA", at positions 524 to 776 of the family's 1533-position model. The record is from RNAcentral.
UACGUAGGCAGCGAGCGUUGUUCGGAGUUACUGGGCGUAAAGAGUGCGUAGGCGGUUUUCUAAGUUUGGUGUGAAAUCUCCCGGCUCAACUGGGAGGGUGCGCCGAAGACUGGAAGGCUUGAGUAUGGGAGAGGUAAGCGGAAUUCCUGGUGUAGCGGUGAAAUGCGUAGAUAUCAGGAGGAACACCUGCGGUGUAGACGGCUUACUGGACCAUAACUGACGCUGAGGCACGAAAGCGUGGGUAGCAAAACAGG